GAGAAUGCAGGCAUGAGUAGCGAAUGAGGAGUGGAAAACUCCUCCGCCGAAUGACUAAGGGUUCCUGGGCCAGGUUAAUCCUCCCAGGGUGAGUCGGGGCCUAAGGCGAGGCCGACAGGCGUAGUCGAUGGGUAACCAGUUGAUAUUCUGGUACCGGCUUGUCACCGUCCGUGUCGAGGUGUGUGAUGCUAAGCAUGUGAGCUUGUCUUGGGAGUGUUUUUGAUGCUUCUGGGGUGGGUGAGUGUGUGAACCGAUCAUGUAGUAGGCAAGCUGCGGAGGGACGCAGUGAGGUAGCUCAUCCCCGGUGAUGGUUGUCCGGGGCUAAGUGUGUGGACUGUCUGGUAGGUAAAUCCGCUGGGCGUGAAGGUUGAGGCAUGAUGGGGAGCCCACGGUUGUGGGUGAGUGAGUGAUCCUGUACUGUCGAGAAAAGCUUCGUGAGCGAGGUGGCGGGUCCGCCCGUACCCUAAACCGACACUGGUGGAUAGGUAGAGUAUACCGAGGCGAUCGAGUGAAUCGUGGUGAAGGAACUCGGCAAAAUGCCCCCGUAACUUCGGGAGAAGGGGGGCCUCGACUGUGAAGCCCACAUGCUGGGUGGAGGCGGUUCGAGGCCGCAGAGACCAGGGGGAAGCGACUGUUUACUAAAAACACAGGUCUCUGCGAAAGCGUAAGCUGACGUAUAGGGACUGACGCCUGCCCGGUGCCGGAAGGUUAAGAGGAGUCGUUAGCUUCGGCGAAGCGGCGAAUUGAAGCCCCGGUAAACGGCGGCCGUAACAAUAACGGUCCUAAGGUAGCGAAAUUCCUUGUCGGGUAAG
Molecule: ribosomal RNA, 812 nt
Filed under: Ochromonas sp. CCMP1393
Lineage: Eukaryota; Chrysophyceae; Chromulinales; Chromulinaceae
Description: partial Bacterial large subunit ribosomal RNA
Rfam family: Bacterial large subunit ribosomal RNA
Source: RNAcentral